Molecule: long non-coding RNA, 601 nt
Filed under: Amborella trichopoda
Lineage: Eukaryota; Viridiplantae; Streptophyta; Magnoliopsida; Amborellales; Amborellaceae
Description: long non-coding RNA (ATRI_LNC000067)
Source: RNAcentral
UGCCUGAUCGUAGGCCUGGUCCCGGAGAGGAGGGGUGUAUAGUGCGACUUGUCGGACAUGUCAUACGGGAUUUCCAUCUUCCCCGAUCGAGUCCCUACUUUACCUAAGAUCAAUUGAACUAUAAAGAAUUUCCAACGUUCAGUUUAGUUUGGAGGUUCAUUGUAAGUCAUUUCAGCCCGGACCAAUCAAAUGAACCAGGCACGUCUGAUUUCUAUUCAUCCAAUUUCUAUUCUAUGUUAGGAUUGAAUAUUUGUUUGACAAAAGGCAUAUAGCGGGAUGGAAGAAGUGGAACAAAAGGAGAAGAAAUGGCGGUAAGAUCAUUCAUUUGUCUUUUGUGUCUGGGCAGGGGAAGGGGAGGCGAGCGAGUAGCCGCUGAAAUACAACAUGGUCCAGCCAGUACAGUGCAGGUGCUGCAGAUCAUCACAUAAAUUCGUGACUAGGCAGAUGGGACUACGCCUUAGCCUUACCUUAGCACUAAGAAGGGGAUCUCGAGCUGCCUAUUCGAGAGAGAGGUUGAGAGACGUGAUGUGCAUGAGACCGAGCCACGCUCUCCAAGUCUCUAAUCAGGGAUAUCGAAGAUAAGUAAUUUCGAGACCCACGA